Molecule: ribosomal RNA, 2829 nt
Filed under: Salmonella enterica subsp. enterica serovar Enteritidis
Lineage: Bacteria; Pseudomonadati; Pseudomonadota; Gammaproteobacteria; Enterobacterales; Enterobacteriaceae
Description: partial 23S ribosomal RNA
Rfam family: Bacterial large subunit ribosomal RNA
Source: RNAcentral
GGGUUGUGAGGUUAAGCGACUAAGCGUACACGGUGGAUGCCCUGGCAGUCAGAGGCGAUGAAGGGCGUACUAAUCUGCGAUAAGCGCCGGUAAGGUGAUAUGAACCGUUAUAACCGGCGAUACCCGAAUGGGGAAACCCAGUGUGAUUCGUCACACUAUCAUUAACUGAAUCCAUAGGUUAAUGAGGCGAACCGGGGGAACUGAAACAUCUAAGUACCCCGAGGAAAAGAAAUCAACCGAGAUUCCCCCAGUAGCGGCGAGCGAACGGGGAGGAGCCCAGAGCCUGAAUCAGCAUGUGUGUUAGUGGAAGCGUCUGGAAAGGCGCGCGAUACAGGGUGACAGCCCCGUACACAAAAGCGCAUGUGCUGUGAGCUCGAUGAGUAGGGCGGGACACGUGGUAUCCUGUCUGAAUAUGGGGGGACCAUCCUCCAAGGCUAAAUACUCCUGACUGACCGAUAGUGAACCAGUACCGUGAGGGAAAGGCGAAAAGAACCCCGGCGAGGGGAGUGAAAAAGAACCUGAAACCGUGUACGUACAAGCAGUGGGAGCACCCUUUGGGUGUGACUGCGUACCUUUUGUAUAAUGGGUCAGCGACUUAUAUUCUGUAGCAAGGUUAACCGAAUAGGGGAGCCGGAGGGAAACCGAGUCUUAAUUGGGCGUUAAGUUGCAGGGUAUAGACCCGAAACCCGGUGAUCUAGCCAUGGGCAGGUUGAAGGUUGGGUAACACUAACUGGAGGACCGAACCGACUAAUGUUGAAAAAUUAGCGGAUGACCUGUGGCUGGGGGUGAAAGGCCAAUCAAACCGGGAGAUAGCUGGUUCUCCCCGAAAGCUAUUUAGGUAGCGCCUCGUGAAUUCAUCUCCGGGGGUAGAGCACUGUUUCGGCUAGGGGGCCAUCCCGGCUUACCAACCCGAUGCAAACUGCGAAUACCGGAGAAUGUUAUCACGGGAGACACACGGCGGGUGCUAACGUCCGUCGUGAAGAGGGAAACAACCCAGACCGCCAGCUAAGGUCCCAAAGUCAUGGUUAAGUGGGAAACGAUGUGGGAAGGCCCAGACAGCCAGGAUGUUGGCUUAGAAGCAGCCAUCAUUUAAAGAAAGCGUAAUAGCUCACUGGUCGAGUCGGCCUGCGCGGAAGAUGUAACGGGGCUAAACCAUGCACCGAAGCUGCGGCAGCGACACUGUGUGUUGUUGGGUAGGGGAGCGUUCUGUAAGCCUGUGAAGGUGUGUCGUGAGGCAUGCUGGAGGUAUCAGAAGUGCGAAUGCUGACAUAAGUAACGAUAAAGCGGGUGAAAAGCCCGCUCGCCGGAAGACCAAGGGUUCCUGUCCAACGUUAAUCGGGGCAGGGUGAGUCGACCCCUAAGGCGAGGCCGAAAGGCGUAGUCGAUGGGAAACGGGUUAAUAUUCCCGUACUUGGUGUUACUGCGAAGGGGGGACGGAGAAGGCUAUGUUGGCCGGGCGACGGUUGUCCCGGUUUAAGCGUGUAGGUGUGUGUUCCAGGUAAAUCCGGUUCACUUUAACACUGAGGCGUGACGACGAGGCACUACGGUGCUGAAGCAACAAAUGCCCUGCUUCCAGGAAAAGCCUCUAAGCAUCAGGUAACAUCAAAUCGUACCCCAAACCGACACAGGUGGUCAGGUAGAGAAUACCAAGGCGCUUGAGAGAACUCGGGUGAAGGAACUAGGCAAAAUGGUGCCGUAACUUCGGGAGAAGGCACGCUGACACGUAGGUGAAGUGAUUUACUCAUGGAGCUGAAGUCAGUCGAAGAUACCAGCUGGCUGCAACUGUUUAUUAAAAACACAGCACUGUGCAAACACGAAAGUGGACGUAUACGGUGUGACGCCUGCCCGGUGCCGGAAGGUUAAUUGAUGGGGUCAGCGCAAGCGAAGCUCCUGAUCGAAGCCCCGGUAAACGGCGGCCGUAACUAUAACGGUCCUAAGGUAGCGAAAUUCCUUGUCGGGUAAGUUCCGACCUGCACGAAUGGCGUAAUGAUGGCCAGGCUGUCUCCACCCGAGACUCAGUGAAAUUGAACUCGCUGUGAAGAUGCAGUGUACCCGCGGCAAGACGGAAAGACCCCGUGAACCUUUACUAUAGCUUGACACUGAACAUUGAGCCUUGAUGUGUAGGAUAGGUGGGAGGCUUUGAAGUGUGGACGCCAGUCUGCAUGGAGCCGACCUUGAAAUACCACCCUUUAAUGUUUGAUGUUCUAACGUGGACCCGUUACCCGGGUUGCGGACAGUGUCUGGUGGGUAGUUUGACUGGGGCGGUCUCCUCCUAAAGAGUAACGGAGGAGCACGAAGGUUGGCUAAUCCUGGUCGGACAUCAGGAGGUUAGUGCAAUGGCAUAAGCCAGCUUGACUGCGAGCGUGACGGCGCGAGCAGGUGCGAAAGCAGGUCAUAGUGAUCCGGUGGUUCUGAAUGGAAGGGCCAUCGCUCAACGGAUAAAAGGUACUCCGGGGAUAACAGGCUGAUACCGCCCAAGAGUUCAUAUCGACGGCGGUGUUUGGCACCUCGAUGUCGGCUCAUCACAUCCUGGGGCUGAAGUAGGUCCCAAGGGUAUGGCUGUUCGCCAUUUAAAGUGGUACGCGAGCUGGGUUUAGAACGUCGUGAGACAGUUCGGUCCCUAUCUGCCGUGGGCGCUGGAGAACUGAGGGGGGCUGCUCCUAGUACGAGAGGACCGGAGUGGACGCAUCACUGGUGUUCGGGUUGUCAUGCCAAUGGCACUGCCCGGUAGCUAAAUGCGGAAGAGAUAAGUGCUGAAAGCAUCUAAGCACGAAACUUGCCCCGAGAUGAGUUCUCCCUGAGACUUAGAGUCUCCUGAAGGAACGUUGA